AGUACCUUGGAUUUCUGAGUGGGCAAGGCUGGACUCUGAGCCCUGGAACCUCUGAAGUGAACACUGCAGGGCCAUUUGUUCUUCCAGUGUGAAUCAGUUAAUAUUAUCGGGAACGAGGGAGAGGUUGAUCCUAGGAGGAAAUCAACCACAGUGAAAAGGCUUGGGCCGCUUUUGUUUUCACCUCCUUUUGCUGAACAAAUUUGAUUUCCGGAGUCAGUCAUUUUACUGUCAAGAAAUUUCUGCGGCAUUCUGCAACAGUUUCCAACGUGGCUAGAUCCGUCAGAGACUGAAGCCGUGGAGAACGCUCUCGGGGCCUUUGCCACUUCUUGGAGUAGAAGCCGACAGAGAGCUGUUUGGAAACGUCUUCUUCACACACCAGUUGAAGACUAGGCUUUGGAGGUUUUCAAAGCAGACUGUGCUUGG
RNAcentral lists this small RNA (423 nucleotides) under Pongo abelii (Sumatran orangutan). RNAcentral describes it as "processed transcript". The record is from RNAcentral. Lineage: Eukaryota; Metazoa; Chordata; Mammalia; Primates; Hominidae.